GAUGAACGCUAGCGAUAGGCUUAACACAUGCGAGUCGAGGGGCAGCGAGGGUAGCAAUACCUGUCGGCGACCGGCGCACGGGUGAGUAACGCGUAUGUAACCUGCCCGCAACAGGGGGAUAACCCGGCGAAAGUCGGACUAAUACCGCAUAAAACAGGGGUCCCGCAUGGGAAUAUUUGUUAAAGAUUUAUCGGUUGCGGGUGGGCAUGCGUACCAUUAGGUAGUUGGUGAGGUAACGGCUCACCAAGCCUUCGAUGGUUAGGGGUUCUGAGAGGAAGGUCCCCCACACUGGUACUGAGACACGGACCAGACUCCUACGGGAGGCAGCAGUGAGGAAUAUUGGUCAAUGGGCGAGAGCCUGAACCAGCCAAGUCGCGUGAAGGAUGACUGCCCUAUGGGUUGUAAACUUCUUUUACAAGGGAAUAAAAUGAGAUACGUGUAUUUUAUUGCAUGUACCUUGGGAAUAAGCAUCGGCUAACUCCGUG
RNAcentral lists this ribosomal RNA (485 nucleotides) under uncultured bacterium. RNAcentral describes it as "partial 16S ribosomal RNA". It matches the Rfam family "Bacterial small subunit ribosomal RNA", at positions 28 to 507 of the family's 1533-position model. The record is from RNAcentral.